This 274-nucleotide ribosomal RNA is filed under the name uncultured bacterium. Its description in RNAcentral is "partial 16S ribosomal RNA". It matches the Rfam family "Bacterial small subunit ribosomal RNA", at positions 523 to 796 of the family's 1533-position model. The record is from RNAcentral.
AUACGAGGGGUGCAAGCGUUAUUCGGAAUCAUUGGGCGUAAAGGGUGUGUAGGCGGCAUGUUAAGUCAACUGUUAAAUCUUCCGGCUCAACCGGAAGCUCGCGGUAGAUACUGGCGUGCUAGAGGAUGAAAGAGAGAAGUGGAAUUCUCGGAGUAGCGGUAAAAUGCGUAGAUCUCGAGAGGAACACCAGUGGCGAAGGCAGCUUCUUGGUUCAUUCCUGACGCUGAGACACGAAAGCGUGGGGAGCAAACAGGAUUAGAAACCCCAGUAGUCC